This 434-nucleotide ribosomal RNA is filed under the name uncultured bacterium. RNAcentral's name for it is "partial 16S ribosomal RNA". It matches the Rfam family "Bacterial small subunit ribosomal RNA", at positions 29 to 507 of the family's 1533-position model. The record is from RNAcentral.
AGCGAACGCUGGCGGCAGGCCUAACACAUGCAAGUCGAACGAACCUUUCGGGGUUAGUGGCGGACGGGUGAGUAACACGUGGGAACGUGCCUUUAGGUUCGGAAUAACUCAGGGAAACUUGUGCUCAUACCGCAUGUGCUCUUCGGGGGAAAGAUUAAUCGCCUCUAGAGCGGCCGGCGUCUGAUUAGCUAGUUGGUUGGGGUAAUGGCUCACCAAGGCGACGAUCAGUAGCUGGUCUGAGAGGAGGAUCAGCCACAUUGGGACUGAGACACGGCCCAAACUCCGACGGGAGGCAGCAGUGGGGAAUCUUGCGCAAUGAGCGAAAGCCUGACGCAGCCAUGCCGCGUGAAUGAUGAAGGUCUUAGGAUUGUAAAAUUCUUUCACCGGAGACGAUAAUGACGGUACCCGGAGAAGAAGCCCCGGCUAACUUCGUG